This 514-nucleotide ribosomal RNA is filed under the name uncultured bacterium. RNAcentral's name for it is "bacterial SSU rRNA". It matches the Rfam family "Bacterial small subunit ribosomal RNA", at positions 996 to 1509 of the family's 1533-position model. The record is from RNAcentral.
UUUAGCGAGAGAUGCUUUAGUGCCUUCGGGAACUCUGAGACAGGUGCUGCAUGGCUGUCGUCAGCUCGUGUUGUGAAAUGUUGGGUUAAGUCCCGNAACGAGCGCAACCCUUAUCCUUGUUGCCAGCACGUAAUGGUGGGAACUCAAAGGAGACUGCCGGUGAUAAACCGGAGGAAGGUGGGGAUGACGUCAAGUCAUCAUGGCCCUUACGAGUAGGGCUACACACGUGCUACAAUGGCGCAUACAAAGAGAAGCGACCUCGCGAGAGCAAGCGGACCUCAUAAAGUGCGUCGUAGUCCGGAUUGGAGUCUGCAACUCGACUCCAUGAAGUCGGAAUCGCUAGUAAUCGUAAAUCAGAAUGUUACGGUGAAUACGUUCCCGGGCCUUGUACACACCGCCCGUCACACCAUGGGAGUGGGUUGCAAAAGAAGUAGAUAGCUUAACCUUCGGGAGGGCGUUUACCACUUUGUGAUUCAUGACUGGGGUGAAGUCGUAACAAGGUAGGCGUAGUGCU